AUCUAGCGAUUUCGCGCCGGCCCGUGAGCCAGAGUCAGCUUCUGAAUCGAGCAUGGGAGAUGUGGGCGACGCGCCGCUUAGAAUCCAGUUGGCCAUGAACAACGGCUGUGAGCGCUGAGCUUGUCGGCGACCGAUUCGCAACAAUCAACGGGAAAAGACGACCCUCAAGCCGCCGGGUGGACAAAAAGGGUUCAUAUUGGGCGAGCCCCUAUCGAGUGUGCACCUUGUGCAGGAAGAGUAUGUGCCCUUGAAAAAAACAUUAAGAGGAUAUGCAGAGAAGAAAACUGAUACCCUAGUGGUACCAUCUGUUGGAUACAACUUUGAUUCAUUGGGAGAGCCAUACGACCUUCACAACCUAUAUUUGUGGGAAAUUGGAUUCGAAAUAAGAUACGAAAAAAGUAGGCUCAACGUCAAGAGAACCAAAUGUAUGCAGGAGAUAGUAUGUGGAUACUCGGGCAAACCAAAAAGAGGAAAUACACGCACAUGCCGCUGUGAGUGCCCUGCGUACAUAACUGAGCACAGGCCAUCACACAAUCAUGCUUUGAUAGAUAAAUGUGGUGAAAAGGUGUACUGACCUUCACAUAAAAAUAUCCAUCUAUAUACAAGAGACCUUGUUAAACAACUUAGAGAGAACAAUAUCAACAUUGAAAAAGUUUACAAUAUAAUUGGUAGUUUCUUCGGUUCAAUGAAUAAUGUGCCCUUGAGCUGUAUGGAAGCAGCAAGCAUCUCAAGUAGCACUGAAUUUCUACUAUUUCCCCUUUGUAUCCUGACUGCUCACUGCCAGCCCCCUGAUAUACAUUAUGUAUUGUCAGCUU
Molecule: long non-coding RNA, 815 nt
Organism: Triticum dicoccoides
Lineage: Eukaryota; Viridiplantae; Streptophyta; Magnoliopsida; Poales; Poaceae
Exons: 3
Source: RefSeq, a predicted model, not a curated record